Molecule: ribosomal RNA, 497 nt
Filed under: uncultured bacterium
Lineage: Bacteria
Description: partial 16S ribosomal RNA
Rfam family: Bacterial small subunit ribosomal RNA
Source: RNAcentral
GAUGAACGCUGGCGGCGUGCCUAAUACAUGCAAGUCGAGCGAACGGACGAGAAGCUUGCUUCUCUGAUGUUAGCGGCGGACGGGUGAGUAACACGUGGAUAACCUACCUAUAAGACUGGGAUAACUUCGGGAAACCGUAGCUAAUACCGGAUAAUAUUUUGAACCGCAUGGUUCAAAAGUGAAAGACGGUCUUGCUGUCACUUAUAGAUGGAUCCGCGCUGCAUUAGCUAGUUGGUAAGGUAACGGCUUACCAAGGCAACGAUGCAUAGCCGACCUGAGAGGGCGAUCGGCCACACUGGAACUGAGACACGGUCCAGACUCCUACGGGAGGCAGCAGUAGGGAAUCUUCCGCAAUGGGCGAAAGCCUGACGGAGCAACGCCGCGUGAGUGAUGAAGGUCUUCGGAUCGUAAAACUCUGUUAUUAGGGAAGAACAUAUGUGUAAGUAACUGUGCACAUCUUGACGGUACCUAAUCAGAAAGCCACGGCUAACUACAUG